GCCCCCGUAGCUCAGUGGAAGAGCAAGGUCCUCCUAAGACCUAGGUCGUGGGUUCGAAUCCUACCGGGGGCA
RNAcentral lists this transfer RNA (72 nucleotides) under Ardenticatena maritima. Its description in RNAcentral is "filamentous thermophilic bacterium 110S tRNA". It matches the Rfam family "tRNA". Rfam says of the family: Transfer RNA (tRNA) molecules are approximately 80 nucleotides in length. Their secondary structure includes four short double-helical elements and three loops (D, anti-codon, and T loops). RNAcentral also lists the same sequence under 1 other name. The record is from Rfam by way of RNAcentral. Lineage: Bacteria; Bacillati; Chloroflexota; Ardenticatenia; Ardenticatenales; Ardenticatenaceae.